This is a long non-coding RNA of Megalops cyprinoides (Indo-Pacific tarpon), 254 nucleotides long. RefSeq lists it as uncharacterized. NCBI's taxonomy places the organism in Eukaryota, Metazoa, Chordata, Actinopteri, Elopiformes, Megalopidae. The transcript has 4 exons. The record is from RefSeq and is a predicted model, not a curated record.
GUACUCUCAAACGCAUUAAACUUUUAACGACACUCCUGUUGGAACAGAAAGUCACCAGAUUAAAGAUGAAGACUGUCAUCUUUCUGAUGUGUCUCAUUGGACUGAGCCUGGCUGUGCCAGCUGACAUUGAUCUGACUCAUCUGGCCCACGCGUCAAAUUCCAACUCCAAUGAGAAUUUCAUGGAAAAUGGCAUGAAUGGCAUUCUCCAGUUUCUUCUCAGCCUUCUCAAUGCCCCCGGCCACACCCCCGCCCCC